UGGCAGCAAAGAAGAAGUUGCAACGGAUGUGUUUUGGUUAUGGCAGCGGAAGAGAGUGAUUUAGGAUGGCUAAAUGGAGUGGAGGAAGCUUUGUAUGGUGUGGCUACAACUCAGACGACCCUCACACAUGGAAGGAAGUUGUAGGGGAGGAAACAAAGCAUGGAGUGACUCUUGGAAAGGAGCAUUGGCAAUGCAUUUGAGCAGAGAUUUCUUACUAUCAUCCAAAAGUAUUCAUACAAGCUAUGCCAAGAGGUUUUAUAGAUGAACCUCUCGGCCUCAUCAAAGGAAAUUCUCAGAUCCAACUAAUUCAACAUGUGUUAAAGAUGCUUGGCUUCUAGAAAGCCUCAUGAAGCACGUGACAAAUGAGUUUUACAUGUGGAGGAAAUUCAAUUACUAAUGCCGCCCCAUGGAAAGCUAAGCACACCCCUCCUUGUGUAGAAAAUGUCCACUUUACCCUUCUCCAUGUUUUGGCAAAUUUGUAUCAUCUCCUUGGUCUCCAAGCUUCCAUCCAAAAAUAGCAAAGAGUACUUGACCUUGUGGAGAAUACUCAUCUUGAAGCUUUUUGGCCAUCCCUCUUGUGAUAGGUCCUAUG
This 592-nucleotide long non-coding RNA is filed under the name Vigna radiata. Its description in RNAcentral is "long non-coding RNA (VRAD_LNC016172)". The record is from RNAcentral. Lineage: Eukaryota; Viridiplantae; Streptophyta; Magnoliopsida; Fabales; Fabaceae.